RNAcentral lists this ribosomal RNA (497 nucleotides) under uncultured bacterium. Its description in RNAcentral is "partial 16S ribosomal RNA". It matches the Rfam family "Bacterial small subunit ribosomal RNA", at positions 28 to 507 of the family's 1533-position model. The record is from RNAcentral.
GAUGAACGCUGGCGGCGUGCCUAAUACAUGCAAGUCGAGCGAACAGAUAAGGAGCUUGCUCCUUUGACGUUAGCGGCGGACGGGUGAGUUACACGUGGAUAACCUACCUAUAAGACUGGGAUAACUUCGGGAAACCGGAGCUAAUACCGGAUAACAUAUUGAACCGCAUGGUUCAAUAGUGAAAGGCGGCUUUGCUGUCACUUAUAGAUGGAUCCGCGCCGUAUUAGCUAGUUGGUAAGUUAACGGCUUACCAAGGCAACGAUACGUAGCCGACCUGAGAGGGUGAUCGGCCACACUGGAACUGAGACACGGUCCAGACUCCUACGGGAGGCAGCAGUAGGGAAUCUUCCGCAAUGGGCGAAAGCCUGACGGAGCAACGCCGCGUGAGUGAUGAAGGUCUUCGGAUCGUAAAACUCUGUUAUCAGGGAAGAACAAAUGUGUAAGUAACUGUGCACAUCUUGACGGUACCUGAUCAGAAAGCCACGGCUAACUACGUG